GUGGGGAAUAUUGGACAAUGGGGGGAACCCUGAUCCAGCCAUGCCGCGUGUGUGAAGAAGGCCUUUUGGUUGUAAAGCACUUUAAGCGAGGAGGAGGCUACCGAGAUUAAUACUCUUGGAUAGUGGACGUUACUCGCAGAAUAAGCACCGGCUAACUCUGUGCCAGCAGCCGCGGUAAUACAGAGGGUGCAAGCGUUAAUCGGAUUUACUGGGCGUAAAGCGCGCGUAGGUGGCCAAUUAAGUCAAAUGUGAAAUACCCGAGCUUAACUUGGGAAUUGCAUUCGAUACUGGUUGGCUAGAGUAUGGGAGAGGAUGGUAGAAUUCCAGGUGUAGCGGUGAAAUGCGUAGAGAUCUGGAGGAAUACCGAUGGCGAAGGCAGCCAUCUGGCCUAAUACUGACACUGAGGUGCGAAAGCAUGGGGAGCAAACAGGAUUAGAUACCCUUGUAGUCC
RNAcentral lists this ribosomal RNA (451 nucleotides) under uncultured bacterium. Its description in RNAcentral is "partial 16S ribosomal RNA". It matches the Rfam family "Bacterial small subunit ribosomal RNA", at positions 354 to 796 of the family's 1533-position model. The record is from RNAcentral.